This 411-nucleotide ribosomal RNA is filed under the name uncultured prokaryote. Its description in RNAcentral is "bacterial SSU rRNA". It matches the Rfam family "Bacterial small subunit ribosomal RNA", at positions 355 to 776 of the family's 1533-position model. RNAcentral also lists the same sequence under 1 other name. The record is from RNAcentral.
UGGGGAAUAUUGCACAAUGGGCGAAAGCCUGAUGCAGCGACGCCGCGUGAGGGAUGACGGCCUUCGGGUUGUAAACCUCUUUCAGCAGGGAAGAAGCUUUCGGGUGACGGUACCUGCAGAAGAAGCACCGGCUAACUACGUGCCAGCAGCCGCGGUAAUACGUAGGGUGCGAGCGUUGUCCGGAAUUAUUGGGCGUAAAGAGCUCGUAGGCGGCUUGUCACGUCGGUUGUGAAAGCCCGGGGCUUAACCCCGGGUCUGCAGUCGAUACGGGCAGGCUAGAGUUCGGUAGGGGAGAUCGGAAUUCCUGGUGUAGCGGUGAAAUGCGCAGAUAUCAGGAGGAACACCGGUGGCGAAGGCGGAUCUCUGGGCCGAUACUGACGCUGAGGAGCGAAAGCGUGGGGAGCGAACAGG